UACGUAGGGUCCGAGCGUUGUCCGGAUUUAUUGGGCGUAAAGAGCUCGUAGGCGGUUCAGUAAGUCGGGUGUGAAAACUUUGGGCUUAACCCAAAGCGUGCAUCCGAUACUGCUGUGACUUGAGUUCGGUAGGGGAGUGGGGAAUUCCUAGUGUAGCGGUGAAAUGCGCAGAUAUUAGGAGGAACACCGGUGGCGAAGGCGCCACUCUGGGCCGAAACUGACGCUGAGGAGCGAAAGCAUGGGUAGCAAACAGG
Molecule: ribosomal RNA, 254 nt
Filed under: uncultured bacterium
Lineage: Bacteria
Description: partial 16S ribosomal RNA
Rfam family: Bacterial small subunit ribosomal RNA
Source: RNAcentral